CUGGCUCUAGGUCGGGGACAACAGUUGGAAACGACUGCUAAUACCGGAUGUGCCGAGAGGUGAAAGAUUAAUUGCCUAGAGAUGAGCUCGCGUCUGAUUAGCUAGUUGGUGUGGUAAGAGCGCACCAAGGCGACGAUCAGUAGCUGGUCUGAGAGGAUGAUCAGCCACACUGGGACUGAGACACGGCCCAGACUCCUACGGGAGGCAGCAGUGGGAUUUUCCGCAAUGGGCGAAAGCCUGACGGAGCAAUACCGCGUGAGGGAGGAAGGCUCUUGGGUUGUAAACCUCUUUUCUCAAGGAAUAAGAACUGAAGGUACUUGAGGAAUAAGCAUCGGCUAACUCCGUGCCAGCAGCCGCGGUAUCGGAGGAUGCAAGCGUUAUCCGGAAUGAUUGGGCGUAAAGGGUCCGCAGGUGGCAAUGUAAGUCUGCUGUCAAAGAAUGAGGCUUAACCUCAUCAAGGCAGUGGAAAC
Molecule: ribosomal RNA, 470 nt
Filed under: Desmonostoc muscorum HSSASE1
Lineage: Bacteria; Bacillati; Cyanobacteriota; Cyanophyceae; Nostocales; Nostocaceae
Description: bacterial SSU rRNA
Rfam family: Bacterial small subunit ribosomal RNA
Source: RNAcentral